This 27-nucleotide small RNA is filed under the name Bombyx mori (domestic silkworm). RNAcentral describes it as "ovarian small RNA-29181". The record is from RNAcentral. Lineage: Eukaryota; Metazoa; Arthropoda; Insecta; Lepidoptera; Bombycidae.
UCGUAGUCCCCAAACGCCAGAUAUAGU